This 468-nucleotide ribosomal RNA is filed under the name uncultured bacterium. RNAcentral describes it as "partial 16S ribosomal RNA". It matches the Rfam family "Bacterial small subunit ribosomal RNA", at positions 28 to 507 of the family's 1533-position model. The record is from RNAcentral.
GACGAACGCUGGCGGCGUGCUUAACACAUGCAAGUCGAACGGAAAGGCCCUGCUUUUGUGGGGUGCUCGAGUGGCGAACGGGUGAGUAACACGUGAGUAACCUGCCCUUGACUUUGGGAUAUCUUCAGGAAACUGGGGCUAAUACCGGAUAGGAGCUCCUGCUGCAUGGUGGGGGUUGGAAAGUUUCGGCGGUUGGGGAUGGACGGGCGGCUUAUCAGCUUGUUGGUGGGGUAGUGGCUUACCAAGGCUUUGACGGGUAGCCGGCCUGAGAGGGUGACCGGCGACAUUGGGACUGAGAUACGGCCCAGACGCCUACGGGAGGCAGCAGUGGGGAAUAUUGCACAAUGGGCGGAAGCCUGAUGCAGCAACGCCGCGUGCGGGAUGACGGCCUUCGGGUUGUAAACCGCUUUCGCCUGUGACGAAGCGUGAGUGACGGUAAUGGGUAAAGAAGCACCGGCUAACUACGUG